This 755-nucleotide long non-coding RNA is filed under the name Marmota monax (woodchuck). The record is from RNAcentral. Lineage: Eukaryota; Metazoa; Chordata; Mammalia; Rodentia; Sciuridae.
GCUUAGAAAACAGCCUGGCAGUUCCUCAAAAAAGAUUAAACAUAGAAUUACUGUAUGAUCAACAAAUAACCCAAUCAAUAAAUGGACCAAGGACAUGAACAGACACUUCUCAUAAGAGGAUAUUCAAUCAAUCAACAAAUACAUGAAAAAAUGUUCAUCAUCUCUAGCAAUUAGAGAAAUGCAAAUCAAAACUACUCUAAGAUACCAUCUCACUCUAAUCAGAAUGGCAGCCAUUAUGAAGACAAACAACAAUAAGUGUUGGCAAGGAUGUGGGGAAAAGGUACACUCAUACAUUGCUGGUGGGUCUGAAAAUUGGUGCAGCCAAUAUGGAAAGCAGUAUGGAGAUUCCUUGGAAAACUUGCAAUGGGAUCACCAUUUGACCCAGCUAUCCCUCUCCUCAGUCUAUACCCAAAGGACUUAAAAACAGCAUAUUACAGGGACACAGCCACCUCAAUGUUUAUAGCAGCACAAUUCACAAUAGCUAAACUGUGGAACCACCUAGAUGCCCUUCAGUAGAUGAAAGGAUUUUUAAAAAGUGGCAUAUAUACACAAUGGAAUAUUACUCAGCAAUAAAAGAGAAUAAAAUCAUGGCACUUGUAGAUAAAUGGAUGUUGUUGGAGAAGAUAAUGCUAAGUGAAGUUAGCCAAUCCCCAAAAAAACAAAUGGCAAAUGUUUUCUCUUAUAUAAGGUGACUAACUCAUAGUGGGGUAGGGAGAGGAAACAUGGGAAGAAUAGAGGAACUCUACAUAGGGCAG